GAUGAACGCUAGCGACAGGCUUAACACAUGCAAGUCGAGGGGCAGCAAUUUGUAGCAAUACAAAGUUGGCGACCGGCGCACGGGUGAGUAACGCGUAUGCAACCUACCUACAACAGAAGAAUAAUCCGGCGAAAGUCGGUCUAAUACUUCAUAAAACAGGGACACCGCAUGGUGUUAUUUGUUAAAGAUUUAUCGGUUGUAGAUGGGCAUGCGUACCAUUAGGUAGUUGGUGAGGUAACGGCCCACCAAGCCUACGAUGGUUAGGGGUUCUGAGAGGAAAGUCCCCCACACUGGUACUGAGACACGGACCAGACUCCUACGGGAGGCAGCAGUGAGGAAUAUUGGUCAAUGGGCGAGAGCCUGAACCAGCCAAGUCGCGUGAAGGAUGACGGCCCUAUGGGUUGUAAACUUCUUUUGCAGGGGAAUAAAGAUAUUCACGUGUGGGUAGUUGUAU
This 454-nucleotide ribosomal RNA is filed under the name Tannerella serpentiformis. RNAcentral's name for it is "bacterial SSU rRNA". It matches the Rfam family "Bacterial small subunit ribosomal RNA", at positions 28 to 474 of the family's 1533-position model. The record is from RNAcentral. Lineage: Bacteria; Pseudomonadati; Bacteroidota; Bacteroidia; Bacteroidales; Tannerellaceae.